This 200-nucleotide unclassified non-coding RNA is filed under the name Helotiales sp. RNAcentral describes it as "partial internal transcribed spacer 2". The record is from RNAcentral. Lineage: Eukaryota; Fungi; Ascomycota; Leotiomycetes; Helotiales.
UUAAGUUCAGCGGGUAUCCCUACCUGAUCCGAGGUUAACCAUAAAAGUUAAGGGUUAAUAGCAAGUAUACACCUAGACACUAUAGCGAGAAAAUUUACUACGCUUAGAGCCAAAUGGCACCGCUACUGAUUUUAAGGGCUGCUGGGUAGGCAUGCCCCAACACCAAGCAAAGCUUGAGGGGUUUAAAUAACGCUCGAACA